This 544-nucleotide ribosomal RNA is filed under the name uncultured methanogenic archaeon. RNAcentral describes it as "partial 16S ribosomal RNA". It matches the Rfam family "Archaeal small subunit ribosomal RNA", at positions 780 to 1327 of the family's 1478-position model. Lineage: Archaea; Methanobacteriati; Methanobacteriota. The record is from RNAcentral.
GUACUACGAGUACCGGGGUGCCGAAGUGAAAACGUGAAACGUGCCGCUGGGAAGUACGGUCGCAAGGCUGAAACUAAAGGAAUGGGCGGGGGAGCACCACAACGGGUGGAGCUGCGGUUAAUUGGACUCAACGCCGGGCAGCUCACCGGAUAGGACAGCGGAAUGAUAGCCGGGCUGAAGACCUUGCUUGACCAGCUGAGAGGAGGUGCAUGGCCGUCGUCAGUUCGUACUGUGAAGCAUCCUGUUUAGUCAGGCAACGAGCGAGACCCACGCCAACAGUUGCUAGCAUGUUCUCCGGAAUGAUGAGGAAAAAAAAAAAAAACGCCUCUGCUAAAGAGGAGGAAGGAAUGGGCAACGGUAGGUCAGCAUGCCCCGAAUUAUCCGGGCUACACGCGGGCUACAAUGGUCAGGACAAUGGGAAACGGCACUGAAAAGUGUAGUCAAUCUCCUAAACCUGUCCCAAGUUCGGAUUGUGGGCUGCAACUCGCCCACAUGAAGCUGGAAUCCGUAGUAAUCGCGUUUCAAAAUAGCGCGGUGAAUAAGU